GAUGAACGCUGGCGGCGUGCCUAAUACAUGCAAGUCGAGCGAAUGGAUUAAGAGCUUGCUCUUAUGAAGUUAGCGGCGGACGGGUGAGUAACACGUGAGUAACCUGCCCAUAAGACUGGGAUAACUCCGGGAAACCGGGGCCAAUACCGGAUAACAUUUUGAACCGCAUGGGUCGAAAUUGAAAGGCGGCUUCGGCUGUAACUUAUGGAUGGACCAGGGUCGCAUUAGCUAGUUGGUGAGGUAACGGCUCACCAAGGCAACGAUGCGUAGCCGACCUGAGAGGGUGAUCGGCCACACUGGGACUGAGACACGGCCCAGACUCCUACGGGAGGCAGCAGUAGGGAAUCUUCCGCAAUGGACGAAAGUCUGACGGAGCAACGCCGCGUGAGUGAUGAAGGCUUUCGGGUCGUAAAACUCUGUUGUUAGGGAAGAACAAGUGCUAGUUGAAUAAGCUGGCACCUUGACGGUACCUAACCAGAAAGCCACGGCUAACUACGUGCCAGCAGCCGCGGUAA
Molecule: ribosomal RNA, 515 nt
Filed under: uncultured bacterium
Lineage: Bacteria
Description: partial 16S ribosomal RNA
Rfam family: Bacterial small subunit ribosomal RNA
Source: RNAcentral